CAAAUGUUCCCUCAGGGCUAAAUCCUAUUCUCCCUAUUGAGAAUCACUGGUCCACUGGUUUACUGACAUGAUUAUCUGUUUCCAAAUCCAGCUAUGGCUUACAUGAACUUCAGUAUGAUUGUGGACACAGAUGGAGACACAAAUCAGGGAGAAAGGUAUAUAUGUAGAAAGUUUAGCUUAGACAUUGUCCAUGGCUUUUGAAUGGCUCCAGCAGCAUCUGUAAGAACCUAUUAAGGCAUUAAAUAACAGGACAAUACCAGAGACACUGAGGCACUUAAAUGCCAGCAUGAACACAUUGCUUGCUGCAAUAGAUUCUUCUCUGGAACUGUGCAAAGCAGAGGUUGGUGGCCUUGGAGGCAGCUACGGAUUUGUGAGAUGAAGUGGAACAACGGUACCCAGGGCAAAAAAAGAGCCCUGAAGCACGAUCUGAGGAGUUGAGGUUGAGAUGUGGCAAGCUGGAAGGCAACAGCAGUUGGCCUAUUAAAAGGGCAGCAAUUACUGAGUAGGAGGCUUUUCUUGAAUGGAGUUAUAUCCUCAAAGAGAAGUGAUGAAGAGGGAAACUGUUUCUUGCUGGUUAUUGUCUAUGAUCUAAUUAAAUGUUUUCUUGGUAUACUUGACAUUUUCCCAUACACCUUAACACAUUGUGGACUUUGGACUACCUAAUAAAAGUAGGAAAAAUCUGGGCAAGCACUAAACAUUCUUCCUUACUUACAUUUUCUUUUCUUUCAUGUUUAACACACAUUUCAAAGAAAAUUGUUUCUUUCUCAUUCUUAAGAGCAAAUAUCAUUAGCUGAUUUCUAAGUUACAGAAUUCUUAAAAAUGUGUAAAUCCUCACUGUGUGAUUUAAAAGAGGGUAGUUUCAAGACUGAAGUGAAUGAUGCAUCUUUAUUUAAAAUGAGACAGAACUUCUCUGAGAGUUUGAAUAUGGGGCUGAAAUAAAUUUCAGAGGCAAGGAAUUAUAGACUAUUAUUGUGUGGGGGACCAGAAUAUGCCACUCCAAAAUAUAAAGAAUUGUUGAGCUGAAGGCAAUUAAGAAUAAAUAGAUACAGGAAAACUCUCUACCCUCCCUCUACUUGCCUACAAGCAGAACGAAGAUUUACAAAGACAAAAGGUAUCUUGCCCCUGCUCUACCAAGAACAACAACCACUGACGGCAGCUUUAAACACGUAUAGUCCUGGGGGCAAUGCUGGAGGAAUCUACAGUUAACAAGCUUUACUUACUUAACCAUUUUUUUGUUGGUUGUCUUUCCCAAGUUGCUGUCCCUAGAGAGUCCCAGUCCUUUUCCUUUGUCAUGUCACUUCUCUAAAAAUUUACUUUUCUUUGUUAAAUCUGCGAUAUAAGCUGAAAUUCAAAGCCACAUCUUUGAGAGCUACUCAGCUACUCAUUCCCUGGGUGUCUCCCAUGUAUAUGUGAAAUAAACCUGUUAACA
Molecule: long non-coding RNA, 1429 nt
Filed under: Homo sapiens (human)
Lineage: Eukaryota; Metazoa; Chordata; Mammalia; Primates; Hominidae
Description: HSALNT0315220
Source: RNAcentral